CGCGCAGGUGGCCAGGUCAGUCGAAUGUGAAAGCCCCCGGCUCAACUGGGGAAGGUCGUUCGAUACUGCCUGGCUCGAAGAUAGGAGAGGGAAGUGGAAUUUCAGGUGUAGUGGUGAAAUGCGUAGAUAUCUGAAGGAACACCAGUGGCGAAGGCGACUUUCUGGCCUAUUCUUGACGCUGAGGCGCGAAAGCUAGGGGAGCGAACG
RNAcentral lists this ribosomal RNA (207 nucleotides) under uncultured bacterium. Its description in RNAcentral is "partial 16S ribosomal RNA". It matches the Rfam family "Bacterial small subunit ribosomal RNA", at positions 568 to 774 of the family's 1533-position model. The record is from RNAcentral.